UGAUAAGACACGCCUCACCAAACCAUCAC
Molecule: small RNA, 29 nt
Filed under: Bombyx mori (domestic silkworm)
Lineage: Eukaryota; Metazoa; Arthropoda; Insecta; Lepidoptera; Bombycidae
Description: ovarian small RNA-32342
Source: RNAcentral